This 211-nucleotide unclassified non-coding RNA is filed under the name Hevea brasiliensis (rubber tree). The record is from RNAcentral. Lineage: Eukaryota; Viridiplantae; Streptophyta; Magnoliopsida; Malpighiales; Euphorbiaceae.
UGUGGAGCUUCAGCUGGAAAACUUUUUUUGGUACUGAUGUUUCUCUCCUCGAGACGGCUGGAGAGCGUGCAGAGUAUGGAUUUCUCUCCCUCAAAACUCCUCCAAAUUGCUGUCAAAAGAUAAAAAGAGAGAGUGAGCCAGCCCUCAGCAACAGCAGCCCGACGACCCUUCUUCUGAUGUUUUCUUUUCUAUUUAUAUUGGUUGCUCUAGG